This is a long non-coding RNA of Grus americana (Whooping crane), 5019 nucleotides long. RefSeq lists it as uncharacterized. The transcript is spliced from 3 exons. The record is from RefSeq and is a predicted model, not a curated record. Lineage: Eukaryota; Metazoa; Chordata; Aves; Gruiformes; Gruidae.
GGCUUUGGGCAACGUGGUCUAGUGGAGGGUGUCCCUGCCCAUGGCAGGGGGGUUGGAACUAGAUGAUCUUUGAGGUCCCUUCCAACCCAAACCAUUCUGUGAUUCUAUAAUGCAAUUGGUAGUUUGUCACUAGUACAGGUAACUUGCGUACAUGAUAUCAAACCUGAACUUUGAUGUCUAGUACGGAUGACCUGGUAGCUAAAGAGAAUUUGAGCAUUUAAACUGGCAAUGUUACUUGAGUCUAGUAGAACUUUUACAAUCUGUAGCUUUCAUGAGAGCACAAAGGUAAAGAUUAAAUUAUUUUCUUAAAAAACAAAAUGUUUUGCAUAUUUUUUUCCUUCUCUCUUGUGCUAACAAACGAUUAUUUCAGAUCUCUAAAAAUGUGUAACCAGAGCUGUGUAGGGAAAUAUUUCUUUCAUAAAUAAGUGACUGUGGAUGAAACCGCUUUGAAAGAAAAACAAUUAAAAGAAGAAACAGUUCAAACUUCUGUACUUUAAGAGACGUCACAUUAGCAAAACUUUUAACCAGACCCUGAAUUAAGUCCACGAAUAGGUACAGCCUGAGAAUCAAAGAAUAAGAGAUUCAGUUUCCAUAACCAAGAUGUGUAACUUCACUGUAGUUAAGUUACCCCAAUUAAUACCAGCUGAAAAUCUGCAAGAAAGUAGCAAUUUGAGAACAAAAUCUUUUAAAUAGCUUCUGUUUGUGCGUCCUUUGCCCCCCAAGCCAAUGGUAAUAUUCCCACUAGCGUUGACAGUGCACUGAUUUAAUUCAGUGGGGUCACAAUGUGGAAGCUGUUAUCAAUUUCUUUAUUCAGAACUAUGUCUUCCUUAAAUAAACAAAGUUUGACUGAGGCAAGACUCAUGCUAGUUCUCAGCAAAGUCUUCAUGCUAUUAAGAAAAUCAGCAGAAUAUAGGAAAUAGUCUCCUGUACAGCUCUUCCUGUAUAAUAGCAAAAGAAGAAUAACUUUUUUUUUUGUCAAAUGUGUAAAGAAUUUACUGCUGUUAAAAUCCAGGCAGUAAUUAAAACAAUUUGAGGAUAUGCCCAAUGGCUGUUGCCGUGGUCUAACCCUUUCCCUCAUUUACAGCUUCUGCUAUUUUGUUCCUACUGAACCUGGCCCAUAGUCCUGCUCUACUGUCAUCACUGUCGCUUCAUCCUCGUGCUACCAUCUCCCCUUUCUGGGACCAUCACUGCUGCUUCUGCCUUGAACUGGUGUGCCAAAACGCUUAAGCUAAGAAGCCUAGCUGUUUGAGCAUGGCUCUGUUCUCUGUCACUUGGGCAUCUCUGUAGGUCACAUUUUGAGAGUGCACAUAAUCCAAGUGAGAGCCAGUACAAGCUAAGGUCUGGGAGAGCUUAUGUGCUGGGGACAACCAUCAGAGCUGUAACAAGUUGACAGCUUACAGAGGUUGGUCUUUUUUGGUUGAAAAAUCCUGUAUUAUAACAGGUAACAAAGCCUGAUCGUGAAUACUCUAACAGAGAAGAAUUCAGAGUGGCUUUCUGAGAACAGAAGGAUUUAAUUUACGCAGUAAUUAAAAAGGGGAGGUUCUUUGCAUUCUGGCAUUCCGCUUUAGCAUGGUCAAGUAUUUAAAGGGUAAUUCUACCACAAUAAUAAAACUUUAUGGCAUCAAAAAUUUAAGUAUUUUAGUAGCUCUCGUGUACGAAGGCUGAAGAGCAAGACAAAAACGCUUCCUGACAUGGAGGAAGGUCCCUGCUCUCUUGGUCCCUAUGGACUGUGACAAGCAGGAAGAGCUGUUGCUCUCUGGAAAUCAGAGAUUCAGACAGGCAUCAACAUGCCGAUGUGCCUCAGAGGCUGCAGCAGGCUAAAUGAAACAGCUGCAAACACUUGUCCGUGUCUUGCGUCAGCAAGUGAUCUCUACUACAGAACUUCAGAACCCUGUUUUCUUGCAGGUCCUGUUCUCCCUUAGGAGCUUGCUCAACAAAUGGAGGAAAAUUUUCCUCUCAGAGAAAAAGCAGAAUGCCUUGAGAGCACAGACAGGCAAAUGCCCCUAAAUCCUUUGCAAUCUUAUGUUUACCUCCCAGCUGUAUGCACAAAGAGCAACAGAAAGGAACUUGUAGACCGACACCUGAUAAGAAGGAAAACGAUAACAUCAUAUACAGCUAAUUCUCAAUUGCUCAUUUUUCGGUCAAGCCACUGCCAGAAGUCAUACAAAAGAGUGAAGGAGGAAGGGACAGCUUGAUAGUUGAAAACCAAAGUUGAAAUUAAAGACAGUUCUUCCAUAAAUUAGUGCAGGACUGGUUUGGCAGGGCCGGAUUUUCUCAGACACUUCCCAUCCUUCAGGGAUUUACAGCCUCAUGAGUGAUUGCUUCCUUCUUGAGGAGGUAAUUAACCUUUGCCAAAUAAUUAAGCAAGGCUUGGUCAGGGGUUAUGGAAGUGUGACAUUUUAUGAACUGCUCAUAUAGACUUCCAGAGGGACUGAGCUGCCUCUAUUUGUUAGGAAAUUUUGAAAUUCUCAGCUUUUAAUUCAAGAAAUACUAGUAAAUAAAUCAGAGGAUCCUUCUUAGAGACCAAAUAUUACUCUGUUCAGCAGAUUCCCUUAAAAACUGAGGGCAUUUAGAAAGUCAUAUCCUAUCAACGAUUUUGGAACAUGCUGGACAUCAAAUUUGCUCCUUAACAUUAUUUCAGAUAAUUUCAUGGCCUUUUCUUUAGGUGAUUGUUGUCUACUGCCACAUAAUUUCUCAAUAAUGAAAGUCUGCUAUGCCAUCAAUGAACAUAGCAAAGUCAAGCCAGGCAAUAAAGUGGAUAAACCCCCAAUAUUUUCUAGUUUCAGUUAGAAAAUGAAUGACAUUAAGGAUGACAUUUAGAACCAAAAUCUAGCCUUUUUUAAUUACGUUUGUAUUAGAAAUCAAUAUAUCUAUAGAAUGUUUAUUUAAAAGUCAUGAGUAAUCUCUUAUUUUCUCCACGUAACUCUGGGUGUUUUUUCCCUGCGUGUAGCAGACUGACAAAAAAAAAAAAAAAAAAAACCAACCCAACAGCCAUAUAUAUUUAUAUUAAUAGCUACUGACAUGAAAUCAGAUGAGCCAGCAGUUUUCAACAUAACUAAAAUGUGAGGAUCAAACUUCAAAACAGUGUUGCUCAGCAUAAGCAUCAACAGGUCUUAAGGGGAGUAUUCAUGGCAGAUUAUACUGUUGAACAUUUUCCAGUGUGACAGGAGAUCAGGCAAACAAAACAAGAUUAUGCGUUAUGAAGGAACAGCAUAAAACACUCUUAGCAAUAAUAAUUAAAAAACCAAACAACAACAACAACAAAUCCACUUUGAUCUCCUCUGAAUAAAACAUAUCCCACCCAGUAGGAAACGAGCAGAUUUCCUUUUGCUUUUUAAAUUUUAUGUUUAUAAAAAUAUUCAGUAAAUUAAUGCUUCGCAAGCUCCAGUCACGUUACUGUGGUCAGAGGCUGGUUUUCCCAUAGGACAGACUUGCUCCACCCUCAGCACUCCAUUCCCACCCCGAAGCAAAUCACAGAGGAUAUUUGAGAAAGAAGCUACUGUAGUCCAAAUCUAUGAAAGGUAUUAAAAAGAGAAGAUAGCGGCUUACCAGAGGGUUUGUGAUAUGCUUGUUUUCUUUAGCAGAAAGGCUACUGUAAUUGAAUAGUGACUCCCUAGCUGCUGCUCUAUAUGAGCAUACGUCUGUUUCACCAGGACGGGGCAUCUGGAAGGAGCUGAUCCAGCAGGUCAAGAGUCUUAAGGCACUGGACUGAGUUGAGGCACCAGAAAACAGGAUUGCAUCAGAAUGGGCGACUAAUCCAGACAGGAAAGUGAAAUAAUUGAAUUCAAUCACAGAUAUCCCUCCAAUCAGCCUCAGUAAUCCAACUGGAAAACAAGCAGGAGAGUUGCAUCAUGUUGUACGUUCCACACUGCAACCCACCGUGACUUAAAGCAAUAAUAAAACCAACCCAAAUCUUUCCAUGUCUUGGAGAAUUUGACUAGCACUUCUGCAGUGAGGAUUCUCCUGUGCCAACCUACUGCUCAUAGCGAUUCUUCUGUGUGUGGUAGCUACACAUACACGCAUUUGCUUAUGGAACAGCAAAACGAGGUGCACUUGCCUGAAUAAGCCUGUGACACUUUCUGGUUUCUUGCCUACACUUCCAUUACUGCUCAGGAAGGCUUUUCAUACUCUGCACUGGAAACAAGAGUACUUCAAUUAUUUCCAGAGCCCUCUUCAUUCAUACCACUGCCUGGAUGCAUCAGACAGUUGAGCUACACCUCUGCCAAGUCCUCUGCUUCCUCCUGUUCCUUACCUCUGCCCUCUGCACCUUAGCGCUCGGCCAGCACAGGCUCCCUCAGUCCUUGUCUGCAACAGAUGCACUUACCAUUAACCCCGACUGAAAAAAUACUGCCCAACACCCUCUGCUGUUAGCUGCAAGAGUCUGAAUGACAAACAAAUGCCACUGUUUGUGUUGUCUCAGUAAAAUCAGAUCUUUACUUACUUCCUAUGAAGUUGACACAGGACAGAGCACAGCGCACCGACCGCAUCAAGGAACCUCUACAACCAUGUUAACUCAAGAUAUGGGAGCAGAACACAAGGAUUAGCCAGUACUAAGUGACUAGGUGUCCCAUCCCACUUAGGUGGGUUAGGGCGAGGUUAACUUUUUAAUUCUCUGCGUGGUAAUCAGGAGUAAUGACAAUUACUCUAGAGGUUCAAACAAAUCACAAAUUUACUUAAAACUCAGCAGACCUACAAAAGAUAGAGGCUUGGCAAAAGUUAUAGCAACACUUAAAACUUAGCAGAACUAUAAAAGAUAAUGGCUUAGCAAAACUUGUAACGAUAUUACCCUAAUUCGCUGAAAGUGAAGUUAGAGACAAAGAGAGUGGUGGAGAGGAAAAGAGAGAAAGAAUGAGAGAAAGAAUGAGAGAGAGAGAGAGAGAGGAAAAGAGAAAAGAUAUCACCACCCUUGGAUCCAGCGAUGUUCUCUGCUUAUAGUUGUAGUCAUCAGGUGGUGGGCACGCGCUGAAAACUUAUGUUGUCCCUUUUUAUAACCCGAUGUGCCCGCCUCAUAGGCGGGGG